AUUUCAAUGUUUAUUUUUUGGGUAAUAACAUGUAUUCUAGAAUAGAACAAUCCUAGUGCUCGAUUUGUUCUCAAAAUUUUUCCAACUUUCUGUUUGAUGGUGAAAGUUCAGAAGCAAGAACCUGUGCAUAUAUCCUAAUUCUCACACUUAUGCCGUGAAUCAUAUAUAUGGGCUCUAAUACAACCUUUGGAAUGAAGCUCCAUAUAAUAUUAUGAGAUCAACAAAUUAGUGAUAGCCUUGUUGAAUUAGCAUACUUGAUGAAAUUCUUGAUUCUGGUUUGUCCUUUGAAGGCAACUACUCGAACUCGGAUUCUUGAAAAGGCAUGCAUGCCCUUGUGAGUGCAGCAAAUGAUGGAGACAGGAAGUGCUUGGGGGCCUGGACUAGACCCCCUGUUGCUUUGCCUCCUUCCAUGUUUCUUUUGACGCCACAAUUGUGGACAGAAAAAAAAAUGCUAACUAUGAAACAUAUGAAAGUAGCUUGUAGGCUUGCUUGAAAAUUUAGAACCGUCCGAGUAGGCCACAAAAGCAUGUUAUGGUGCUUAUGUGAUGGAUUAUUGUUUGGUGAAUGUGCAUUUUGGUUACUUUACCUGUUAAUUAUUAUGAUGCGGUCUGUUUUUCAUGGAAAUAUUUGUGUUUUGGUGUAGUUGUGGGAAUAUAUGAACUUUAUGCAAUUGAAUUCUUAUGCAUAUUGAAGAGACCUGAAUUAAAUUUCAGUAUUGCUAUUUGAUGGGACCUGUAAUAAAUUUCAGUACUGCUAUAACCCGUCA
RNAcentral lists this unclassified non-coding RNA (766 nucleotides) under Hevea brasiliensis (rubber tree). The record is from RNAcentral. Lineage: Eukaryota; Viridiplantae; Streptophyta; Magnoliopsida; Malpighiales; Euphorbiaceae.